UACGUAGGCAGCGAGCGUUGUUCGGAGUUACUGGGCGUAAAGGGUGUGUAGGCGGUUCUUUAAGUUUGGUGUGAAAUCUCCCGGCUCAACCGGGAGGGUGCGCCGAAUACUGAGGAACUAGAGUACGGGAGAGGAAAGUGGAAUUCCUGGUGUAGCGGUGAAAUGCGUAGAUAUCAGGAGGAACACCGGUGGUGUAGACGGCUUUCUGGACCGUAACUGACGCUGAGACACGAAAGCGUGGGUAGCAAACAGG
This 253-nucleotide ribosomal RNA is filed under the name uncultured bacterium. RNAcentral's name for it is "partial 16S ribosomal RNA". It matches the Rfam family "Bacterial small subunit ribosomal RNA", at positions 524 to 776 of the family's 1533-position model. The record is from RNAcentral.